AGGUCUCAUAUCCAUAUUUGAGGUAGGCUUUUUAUUAUGUGAUCAUUUUCUUUACAGAAAGGAUCAGGAAAUGACAUUUGUAUGAGAAACACAAGGAGAAUCAUGAGGAGAAAUAGAAAUAGUUCUAAAAUAACCUGAGAGAAAAUCUGUCAGAAAAAAGUGCAUUAAAAAGGAUACAUAAAGUUUUGAGAGGACUGGAGUAAAAUCACACCUCACUCUCAGAGGAAAGAAGACAGACUAUAGAAUGCAAAUUGAUAGAGAUGAGAAGCUAUAAAUUGUGAGAAGGAAACAAGAGCCAAUGAAACUGAGAAGAUAACAAGAAUUAAGCACUGUUCAGACCAGGGACCAGUCUCAAUAGAUCAUUCAGUCAGUCUCUGGAGGACAUUGUUGAUAGAUGAAAUUGUCCAAAUCGUCCAGGUGCAUGUUCUACUAUCUUGAAUGGGUCCCACCCAAAGAAGAACUAGAUAAUCUAGUCUACUUGAAUCUAGUCUACUUGAAUUCUUCACUCUAUCAGGAAGCACCUGUAAGAAUAUGAGCUAUUGAAUGAUUUGCUAACACAUACUAUUUUCAAAAUUAAAAAGUAUAUACAUAUACAACCUUCUUAGAAGAUAUAUUAGAGAAACACUUCUCUCCCCCUUACCCUUAUAGAAACUUUUUAACAUAUGUACAUAAAUACAUAUAUGUAUGUGUUUAUUUAUAUCAUAUAUUAAUGUAUCAAACUCAAAUACCUACAUAUAUGUAUAUAUGUGUAAAUAUACACAUAUGUAUACAUACAUAUAAUCACAUUUACAGUUAGUCAAACAAAGUAAAAGAAUACAUUGUCCAUGUAUGGGGUAAGCAACUUUCAUUCUUCUGUUCUCAUUCAUCAACCUCUGCCAAAAAUUGGGAAAGAUAGAUACAUUUUUUAAAGUGGAGUAUUAAUAAAACAUUUUUAAAAAGGGAAACAAAACCUAGAGAACAAAACAGACUUACUAAGGCUAAGGAUAUUCCUUGGGGAGAGAAGAAUUAGGCUGGAGUUAACUUUUCUGGAUAGUAACAUCCUUUCCAUUGUUUUUUUGGGGGGAGGUUUAAAAGGAAACUACUUUAAGGGGAAGGCCAAGGGUAUUGAUUGAAGAGAAAACCAUGUCUAAGAAGGAUCAGGGAAUUAGUGGGCCAGAGCAUAGCAUAUGAGGAUGGGGUCAAGUUAAGAAGGAGUAGCUAGCUCUCUUUUUCAAUUAAAUUCUUUCAACUGUCAACAACUGUUAAACUGAGAAGAAUCAUACAGGACUGAAUAGGCAAGAAUGAUUUAAUUCAAUUCAGUACAGGCUAAUAAACAUUUAAGUACCUAAAUAUUCUGGGAUACAUCACGGAAGGGGAAAAAAAGUGCUUCUUAGCAAUUUGAUUUUAAAAUAUAAUGAAAAUGCAUACUUUUGCCUUAAGGAAAGAAGACAUUUUCUCAGUUGAAAUUCUAAAUAAAAUGAAAAUUGCAGGGUCCAUUGAUAAUGCAGAAGGUAAAGAUCAAAAGAUACAUGAAAGUACAGGCAACUUUUCUUCAAGAAGAGAUGAAGCAAUAGGACAGAGAGGAUAACUUGAACACAUCUUGUAUAUGCACAUAAUAAUUUUUUUCCUAGAAAUGUCACUAUUACUUAAGAUAGUAUAUAGUUGCAAGUUUUUUUUUAAAAAAACAAGUAUUUUUUAUUUAAAAGUGAAUAAUCUUCUUUAUCAUCUUUUCCAAUCCAACACCAAGUAGUGAAUAAUAUUAAAAAUUUAGUGAACAAUUUUUAAAAACCUAAUUUAAUUAACUUUUAUUUGCUACAUAUAUUUCUUCUCUCUUUUAAAGGGUACUAUGAAUUUGUCUUAGUUUAAAUCUCAUUCCUAGAAUCACAGGUAUUAAGACAAAAACCCAGAUAGUAUAACUUCCAUUUUACAGAUGAGGAAAUUGAAGUCCUCUUUAGUGAUUUGCCUUAAUAAAAUGGAGGCAGAGCACAAUGAUUUUCCCAAAUUCAUUCAGCUACUAAUUUUUGUUAACCAGUGUUCCUUUCAAUGUCUCACAAUGAAAUUCCUCAUGAUCCUCCUAGAAGACUAAUUGGCCAUAUGGUCAAGAUGCCUUAAAUAAUUUUGCUUUUUGGUCAGUUAACAUCAUUUCAAAAAUCAGCAAUCCACGAGUGCCUAUGCUCCUGCAAUGACAAGUUUAGUUGAUUAUUUCAUCAAUGCAACAAUGCUAAUGCUUACUAAUUCAGGAAUCAAAAAAAAAAAAAAAAGAUAGCAUGGAUCACUUCCUUCUGUUGACUUCCCCCGAGGACCAUCUCCAGGGAUCCUGAUCUACAUCUUGCUAUUGGAGAUGACACUGGAGGAGAAAAUGAGACUUGUGCCUUUGCACCACCUACUCUCAAUUAAAUCCAAUUCAUGUGUAUGUCCCGACAUCACCUCCCUAAUGUCAUGGUUUUCUUUGAGAAUAAAGCCUUGCCAUCUCCUACCCACUGCCUCCUUUGAAUGGACAAAGGAAAGAAUGAGAGUAUCUUUGCCUCAAUGAUUGGAGUGAGAACUCUGCAAUGCCAAGUCAGGAUAGAGAACCAAGUGCUCAAUUCUUUGAUGCAGUAGUUAUAAGAUAGGAGUUUCCAUUGAAAAUCUCCAAGUAGUAUUUCCCUGAAGACACAACCAGAAGCACUUACAGGCUUUGCCACACAUCAGGUCAAGAUAACCCAAGAAGGUUUUGGUUGUUGAUAAUAGAAGAGAAAGUCCUGUCCAGUGAUUGCCAAUUGAUACUUGGUAUACAUUUUACUUGAUUCCAUUUCCAGUUCCUCAGGGCAGGGAACAUUCUGAUUUUGUCUAUAUAUUCCCAGCACCUUGGACAGGGCUUUGGGCACAGAAGGUCAUUAAUAAAGACAUAAAUAAUUUUAGGUUUCUUGAUUUGAUCUGAAUAUGCUGUGAUACAAAGAACACUGGAUUUAAGGUAGUGUAACCCUAGUGGUUAUUUUUGGAGGCAGCUGGGUAGCUCAGUGGAAAGAGCACUGGGCCCAGAGUCAGAAAGACAUGAGGUGAAAUCUGAUUUCAGACACUAGCUAUGUGACUCUGAGCAAGUCAUUCAAUCUCUCUUUGCCUUAAUCCAC
This is a long non-coding RNA of Sarcophilus harrisii (Tasmanian devil), 3089 nucleotides long. RefSeq lists it as uncharacterized. The record is from RefSeq and is a predicted model, not a curated record. The transcript is spliced from 3 exons. NCBI's taxonomy places the organism in Eukaryota, Metazoa, Chordata, Mammalia, Dasyuromorphia, Dasyuridae.